GAUGAACGCUAGCGGCAGGCUUAAUACAUGCAAGUCGAGGGGCAGCAUGAAGUAGCAAUACUUGAUGGCGACCGGCAAACGGGUGCGGAACACGUACACAACCUCCCUUUAAGUGGGGAAUAGCCCAGAGAAAUUUGGAUUAAUACCCCGUAACACAACGAAGUGGCAUCACUUUGUUGUUAUAGUUUCGACGCUUAAUGAUGGGUGUGCGUAUGAUUAGCUUGUUGGUGGGGUAAAGGCCUACCAAGGCUACGAUCAGUAGCUGGUCUGAGAGGAUGAUCAGCCACACUGGGACUGAGACACGGCCCAGACUCCUACGGGAGGCAGCAGUGGGGAAUUUUCCGCAAUGGGCGAAAGCCUGACGGAGCAAUACCGCGUGAGGGAAGAAUGCCUAUGGGUUGUAAACCUCUUUUUUCAGGGAGGAAUAAAAUGACGUGUACCUGAAGAAUAAGCAUCGGCUAACUCCGUG
RNAcentral lists this ribosomal RNA (469 nucleotides) under uncultured bacterium. RNAcentral's name for it is "bacterial SSU rRNA". It matches the Rfam family "Bacterial small subunit ribosomal RNA", at positions 28 to 507 of the family's 1533-position model. The record is from RNAcentral.